Alosa sapidissima (American shad) is the source of this 646-nucleotide long non-coding RNA. RefSeq lists it as uncharacterized. NCBI's taxonomy places the organism in Eukaryota, Metazoa, Chordata, Actinopteri, Clupeiformes, Clupeidae. The record is from RefSeq and is a predicted model, not a curated record. The transcript has 3 exons.
CAAGCACAAAGGGCCAUCCACACAGUCACCCCAACACAAAGACACAGAGAGGAAGAGAGACACAAAGGGAGAAUUAGACAGGAGUUAACAAGAUAAGCUACAGCAGAACUUAGGAGCGCCCCAAGGGCCAACACCAAGACGCCUCUCCUACACGCCAACUUUCCUGUGCCGUGCACGAUAGAGACAUGACGGCAAUCUGGUCUCCCAGCAGGUCAGUUUGUUACAAUAUGGCGCCAGUCACGCCAAUGUCAAAGGCGGUCGGGUCUCCACGGCGACACACACACCAUGUCAUAAUGUGACUCACGGUUUCUAAAGGCGGCUGCUCACGGCUGGCUGUAAGUGAUGCCGAGUGGGAGCCAGGCAAUGGAGGGGCUGUAAUCACUGAUGUUUCUCCCUGCAUGCUAUCCGUGAUGAAGAACGCCGCGGAAAUAUCAUCGCCGUGGAAACCCAGAUGUGUUUAAGAGGGCUAAACAAACACAGUGAGCCCUGUCCUUCUCUUUCAUCUCCAGCGGUGUGAGCGGUGUACUUUAAUGGAACGGGGCACAUCACGCUGCCACUUGACGUCCGGUCCUGGUCUAACGCCUGGAAGAAGAGGGACAGAGAAAGGACACGGUCAUCACGGGGUACAUGGGGCUAUUUCUCAUUU